AGCAUGGGGGCUCAGUGGUUAGAGCACCCGCCUUAUGGACGGAAGGUCGUGGGUUCGAACCCCGGCCGAGUCA
Non-coding RNA from Strongylocentrotus purpuratus (purple sea urchin), 73 nucleotides. The record is from Rfam. NCBI's taxonomy places the organism in Eukaryota, Metazoa, Echinodermata, Echinoidea, Camarodonta, Strongylocentrotidae.